Homo sapiens (human) is the source of this 1286-nucleotide long non-coding RNA. Ensembl annotates it as maternally expressed 8, small nucleolar RNA host gene. Its record names the gene MEG8. The record is from Ensembl. NCBI's taxonomy places the organism in Eukaryota, Metazoa, Chordata, Mammalia, Primates, Hominidae.
GUGAGCCUCAGGAUGGAUGUUUGCCAGCCGAUUCCAUGGUUACAAGCUCUAUAGCUGCAUCUAUGUGUUAGGAGCAUGAAGACCAAUAAUGGAUGCACUGAGCUGAUUAUGAAUUUAGCCCUGAUGAAGACUUGUGUUGCUGUCAUGAUAUGAAAGAUUCCAGUAAUGAACGCACUUGAGUUGAUUCAAGCACGCUUCCAUGGUCAUGAGCUCUGUGGUUGCAUCUGUGUGUUAGGAGCAUGCAGACCAAUAGUGAUAAUCUCGAGGUGAUUUAUGCAUUCUUCCAUGGCCACCAGCCUUAUGAUUGCAUCUGUGCGUCACAGCUUAGAGAUCAAUAAUGGAUGCAACAAGCUCUUUGAAUCAUUCUGUUGGGAUCAAGAUUGUUGUGUUCCCUCUGUUUGGAAAGAGACCAAGAAUGGAUACGCUCAGGUGAUUUAAGCAGUCUUCCAUGGCCACGAGCUCUGUGGUUGCCUCUGUAUAUUAAGAGCACAGAGAUUAAAAAUGGCCCCAUUCCAGCUGAUAUAAGCACUCUUCCAUGGCAUGUGCACUAUGGUUGGUUCUCUGUGUUAGGAGCACACAAACCAUUGCGAGUAUGCAUUCAUUUCCUCUCUUUACAAGAAUGGGUGCACUUGAGCCGAUUGAAACAUUCCUCCUUGCAUCUUUCUUCUGUGAUUGCAUCUAUUUGUUAGUAGCAUAGAGACCAAUAAUAGAUGGCUUGUGCUGAUGGAAGGAUUCCUCCCUGGUGACAUGCUGUGUCUGCCUCUUGAUUGGGAGCACGCAGACCUACAAUGAUGCACUUUUUAUGAUUUGAGAAUUCCUUCAUGGUCACGUGCUCUGUUUUUAUCAUGGUUGGGAGCCUGCAGAGCAAUGUGAGUAGUAAUCAACAUUCUUAUCUUGGCCCGAAUGGUUUGUUUAAGAGGACUCAGGGUAUUAUCAAAAAGCCUAUAAUAUAAUCAGAAUGGUCAACUGUAUCUAAGUGAUAGAAAUUGGAGUGAUAUGAAGCAUUAUAUUGAUAAUGCAUAUAUGAAAAAUUGAGGGUAAUGAAACAGAUAUAUCGAUGUUAGAAUGAUUCCAUGUACAGAUUGGGAAUAUCAAGACUCUUCUUGGAGCUCUUUGAAUCAGACUCUUUAAUGUUGUUAUUAGUGAAUUAGUAAAUUAAUCACAAAAAUACAGGCAUGAAUUGAGAAAAGGAAGACCAAUCCUGGAUCGAUGAUGACUACUGGUGGCGUAUGAGUCAUAGACAAUGAAUACGUGUCUGGAACUCUGAGGUCCAUCGUCCAUCACAA